UGGGAUACCACUUGGAAACAGGUGCUAAUACCGGAUAACAACAAUAGCUGCAUGGCUAUUGCUUAAAAGGCGGCGAAAGCUGUCGCUAAAGGAUGGACCCGCGGUGCAUUAGCUAGUUGGUAAGGUAAUGGCUUACCAAGGCGACGAUGCAUAGCCGAGUUGAGAGACUGAUCGGCCACAUUGGGACUGAGACACGGCCCAAACUCCUACGGGAGGCAGCAGUAGGGAAUCUUCCACAAUGGGCGAAAGCCUGAUGGAGCAACGCCGCGUGAGUGAAGAAGGUUUUCGGAUCGUAAAGCUCCGUUGUUGGUGAAGAAGGAUAGAGGUAGUAACUGGCCCCUAUUUGACGGUAAUCAACCAGAAAGUCACGGCUAACUACGUGCCAGCAGCCGCGGUAAUACGUAGGUGGCAAGCGUUGUCCGGAUUUAUUGGGCGUAAAGCGAGCGCAGGCGGAAAGAUAAGUCUGAUGUGAAAGCCCCCGGCUUAACCGAGGAAUUGCAUCGGAAACUGUGUCUCUUGAGUGCAGAAGAGGAGAGUGGAACUCCAUGUGUAGCGGUGGAAUGCGUAGAUAUAUGGAAGAACACCAGUGGCGAAGGCGGCUCUCUGGUCUGUAACUGACGCUGAGGCUCGAAAGCAUGGGUAGCGAACAGGAUUAGAUACCCUGGUAGUCCAUGCCGUAAACGAUGAG
This 688-nucleotide ribosomal RNA is filed under the name uncultured bacterium. Its description in RNAcentral is "bacterial SSU rRNA". It matches the Rfam family "Bacterial small subunit ribosomal RNA", at positions 139 to 813 of the family's 1533-position model. The record is from RNAcentral.